GAACGGGGAGCAGCCCAGAGCCUGAAUCAGUAUGUGUGUUAGUGGAAGCGUCUGGAAAGGCGCGCGAUACAGGGUGACAGCCCCGUACACAAAAAUGCACAUAUUGUGAGCUCGAUGAGUAGGGCGGGACACGUGGUAUCCUGUCUGAAUAUGGGGGGACCAUCCUCCAAGGCUAAAUACUCCUGACUGACCGAUAGUGAACCAGUACCGUGAGGGAAAGGCGAAAAGAACCCCGGCGAGGGGAGUGAAAAAGAACCUGAAACCGUGUACGUACAAGCAGUGGGAGCACGCUUAGGCGUGUGACUGCGUACCUUUUGUAUAAUGGGUCAGCGACUUAUAUUCUGUAGCAAGGUUAACCGAAUAGGGGAGCCGAAGGGAAACCGAGUCUUAACUGGGCGUUAAGUUGCAGGGUAUAGACCCGAAACCCGGUGAUCUAGCCAUGGGCAGGUUGAAGGUUGGGUAACACUAACUGGAGGACCGAACCGACUAAUGUUGAAAAAUUAGCGGAUGACUUGUGGCUGGGGGUGAAAGGCCAAUCAAACCGGGAGAUAGCUGGUUCUCCCCGAAAGCUAUUUAGGUAGCGCCUCGUGAAUUCAUCUCCGGGGGUAGAGCACUGUUUCGGCAAGGGGGUCAUCCCGACUUACCAACCCGAUGCAAACUGCGAAUACCGGAGAAUGUUAUCACGGGAGACACACGGCGGGUGCUAACGUCCGUCGUGAAGAGGGAAACAACCCAGACCGCCAGCUAAGGUCCCAAAGUCAUGGUUAAGUGGGAAACGAUGUGGGAAGGCCCAGACAGCCAGGAUGUUGGCUUAGAAGCAGCCAUCAUUUAAAGAAAGCGUAAUAGCUCACUGGUCGAGUCGGCCUGCGCGGAAGAUGUAACGGGGCUAAACCAUGCACCGAAGCUGCGGCAGCGACGCUUAUGCGUUGUUGGGUAGGGGAGCGUUCUGUAAGCCUGUGAAGGUGUGCUGUGAGGCAUGCUGGAGGUAUCAGAAGUGCGAAUGCUGACAUAAGUAACGAUAAAGCGGGUGAAAAGCCCGCUCGCCGGAAGACCAAGGGUUCCUGUCCAACGUUAAUCGGGGCAGGGUGAGUCGACCCCUAAGGCGAGGCCGAAAGGCGUAGUCGAUGGGAAACAGGUUAAUAUUCCUGUACUUGGUGUUACUGCGAAGGGGGGACGGAGAAGGCUAUGUUGGCCGGGCGACGGUUGUCCCGGUUUAAGCGUGUAGGCUGGUUUUCCAGGCAAAUCCGGAAAAUCAAGGCUGAGGCGUGAUGACGAGGCACUACGGUGCUGAAGCAACAAAUGCCCUGCUUCCAGGAAAAGCCUCUAAGCAUCAGGUAA
This 1338-nucleotide ribosomal RNA is filed under the name Escherichia coli. RNAcentral describes it as "partial 23S ribosomal RNA". It matches the Rfam family "Bacterial large subunit ribosomal RNA", at positions 255 to 1634 of the family's 2925-position model. Lineage: Bacteria; Pseudomonadati; Pseudomonadota; Gammaproteobacteria; Enterobacterales; Enterobacteriaceae. The record is from RNAcentral.